GUCCCCGUGGCCCAGUGGACAGGGCGCCCGCCUCCGGAGCGGGAGGACAUGGGUCCGAAUCCCAUCGGGGACACGA
Molecule: transfer RNA, 76 nt
Filed under: Bifidobacterium callitrichos
Lineage: Bacteria; Bacillati; Actinomycetota; Actinomycetes; Bifidobacteriales; Bifidobacteriaceae
Also listed under: 1 other name
Description: tRNA-Arg
Rfam family: tRNA
About the family: Transfer RNA (tRNA) molecules are approximately 80 nucleotides in length. Their secondary structure includes four short double-helical elements and three loops (D, anti-codon, and T loops). Further hydrogen bonds mediate the characteristic L-shaped molecular structure. tRNAs have two regions of fundamental functional importance: the anti-codon, which is responsible for specific mRNA codon recognition, and the 3' end, to which the tRNAs corresponding amino acid is attached (by aminoacyl-tRNA synthetases). tRNAs cope with the degeneracy of the genetic code in two manners: having more than one tRNA (with a specific anti-codon) for a particular amino acid; and 'wobble' base-pairing, i.e. permitting non-standard base-pairing at the 3rd anti-codon position.
Source: RNAcentral